UACACUCCUACGGGAGGCAGCAGUGGGGAAUAUUGGACAAUGGGCGCAAGCCUGAUCCAGCCAUGCCGCGUGAGUGAUGAAGGCCCUAGGGUUGUAAAGCUCUUUCACCGGUGAAGAUAAUGACGGUAACCGGAGAAGAAGCCCCGGCUAACUUCGUGCCAGCAGCCGCGGUAAUACGAAGGGGGCUAGCGUUGUUCGGAUUUACUGGGCGUAAAGCGCACGUAGGCGGACUAUUAAGUCAGGGGUGAAAUCCCGGGGCUCAACCCCGGAACUGCCUUUGAUACUGGUAGUCUUGAGUUCGAAAGAGGUGAGUGGAAUUCCGAGUGUAGAGGUGAAAUUCGUAGAUAUUCGGAGGAACACCAGUGGCGAAGGCGGCUCACUGGCGCGAUACUGACGCUGAGGUGCGAAAGCGUGGGGAGCAAACAGGAUUAGAUACCCUUGUAGUCCCAUGAU
RNAcentral lists this ribosomal RNA (453 nucleotides) under uncultured organism. RNAcentral describes it as "partial 16S ribosomal RNA". It matches the Rfam family "Bacterial small subunit ribosomal RNA", at positions 332 to 801 of the family's 1533-position model. The record is from RNAcentral.